AAUAUUGGGUAGCCUCUGCUCCAUGAUUUAUAUAGCCGCAGUAUUUUGACUGUGCUAAGGUAGCAUAAUAAUUUGUCUUUUAAUUGAGGGCUAGUAUGAAAGAGCUGACGACGCUCUUCCUUUUUUGGCUUUAAGCUGGAAUUUAAUAUUUACAUUAAAAAGUGUAACUCUCUGAGGGGACGAUAAGACCCUAUAAAACUUUAAUUUAAACUACUUUUAAUAUACCCAGGAGACUUAAGAGUUAUUAAAUUAAGCUGGGGCGGCAGCUAGGACACACUAGUAAAGUUAACAGACUGCUUGAAUAUAAAGAUCUUGUUAAGAAGUAGAAUAAGUUACUUUAGGGAUAACAGCAUAAUUUUUUUGUAUAGACCGUAUAGAAUAAAAAGACUUAUGACCUCGAUGUUGAAUUGGGGUACCCCCCCAAAGCAGAAAUUGGGGAGGGGGGUCUGUUCGACCUAUCACCCCCC
This 467-nucleotide ribosomal RNA is filed under the name Chelator sp. VTDes141. RNAcentral describes it as "partial 16S ribosomal RNA". It matches the Rfam family "Bacterial large subunit ribosomal RNA", at positions 1844 to 2597 of the family's 2925-position model. The record is from RNAcentral. Lineage: Eukaryota; Metazoa; Arthropoda; Malacostraca; Isopoda; Desmosomatidae.